This 468-nucleotide ribosomal RNA is filed under the name uncultured bacterium. Its description in RNAcentral is "partial 16S ribosomal RNA". It matches the Rfam family "Bacterial small subunit ribosomal RNA", at positions 28 to 507 of the family's 1533-position model. The record is from RNAcentral.
GACGAACGCUGGCGGCGUGCUUAACACAUGCAAGUCGAACGGAAAGGCCCUGCUUUUGUGGGGUGCUCGAGUGGCGAACGUGUGAGUAACACGUGAGUAACCUGCCCUUGACUUUGGGAUAACUUCAGGAAACUGGGGCUAAUACCGGAUAGGAGCUCCUGCUGCAUGGUGGGGGUUGGAAAGUUUCGGCGGUUGGGGAUGGACUCGCGGCUUAUCAGCUUGUUGGUGGGGUAGUGGCUUACCAAGGCUUUGACGGGUAGCCGGCCUGAGAGGGUGACCGGCCACAUUGGGACUGAGAUACGGCCCAGACUCCUACGGGAGGCAGCAGUGGGGGAUAUUGCACAAUGGGCGGAAGCCUGAUGCAGCAACGCCGCGUGCGGGAUGACGGCCUUCGGGUUGUAAACCGCUUUCGCCUGUGACGAAGCGUGAGUGACGGUAAUGGGUAAAGAAGCACCGGCUAACUACGUG